This 1949-nucleotide unclassified non-coding RNA is filed under the name Thrips palmi. RNAcentral describes it as "graves disease carrier protein homolog, transcript variant X1". Lineage: Eukaryota; Metazoa; Arthropoda; Insecta; Thysanoptera; Thripidae. The record is from RNAcentral.
UAAACAAUCAGCUGUCAACUCAAGAAGCUGCAUUUUGGACCGUAAAAAAUUAAAUACUAGAUGUACGUCAGCCUGUGGUUCAGAUUCCAAACUCCACCGGUACCUGGGAUGAAUCUUAAAUGAGGUUCAAUCCUUUACCAGUAGGAUGACAUUGGCAUUUUCGUAUGUUCGUUCUACGCGCGAAGGCCGAAGGCGCGUCCCAUCUGCAUCUAGCUUUCUCCAGACACUGACACCUGUCCUGGAGAAAGUUACAGCUGAUUCCUCUCGCCCUCUGGAGCAGGUGCCACGUAUUUGACCCUUGAUUUCAGUUUUUGUAGAGUUUAAGAUUGUAUCAGCAAACAUGACGACCAUGUUCAGUGAUCAAACCACAGAAAAGUUAAAGACAUUAUUGAGUGGAGGAGUUGCAGGAAUGUGUUCUAAAACAACAGUAGCACCACUUGAUCGAAUGAAGAUUCUGUUUCAGGCACACAACAAUCAUUACAAAAACCUUGGUGUCUGGUCUGGCUUAAAAGCCAUAGUUAAGAAUGAGAAUAUUUUUGCUUUGUAUAAGGGCAAUGGUGCUCAAAUGGUUCGGAUAUUUCCCUAUGCUGCAAUACAGUUUACAGCAUAUAGCACCUACAAAAGAACCUUCUCCAGUAUGUGCGAAACUUCUACGUGGUUGGGUUCUUUCCUAACAAAUUUUGGAUCAGGGGCUCUGGCUGGUGUCACUGCAGUGGCAAUGACAUAUCCUCUGGACACUAUUCGAGCUCGACUAUCUUUCCAAGUCAAAGGAGAGCACAAGUACAAGGGGAUUGUUCAUGCAGGUGUAACUAUUGUCCGUAACGAAGGAGGAGUGUUAGCAUUGUAUCGGGGCUUUGUGCCUACUCUAUGUGGAAUAUUUCCACAAGCUGGGUGCAAUUUUUAUUUUUUUGAACAAUUGAAAAAUAUGUGCAUGCAAUAUUUUCCCAUGUACACGUGCAAUGUGUGUGAACAAAAUACAGGUGGUUUAGUCCUAUCCAUUCCAGCUAAGCUAGCAUGUGGUGGUGUCGCUGGUGCAAUUGCUCAAACCUUUUCUUACCCUCUUGAUGUAACACGGCGGCGCAUGCAACUGGCCAUGAUGACUCCAGAAACAAGCAAAUUUGCGACUGGUAUGUUGUCUACAUUAAAAAUGACCUACCAGGAGAACGGAAUUGUCCGAGGCCUCUACAGGGGCAUGAGUAUAAAUUUCUAUCGAGUAUGUCCCAUGUGUGCAGUGUCAUUUUCCACCAAUGAGAUGGUAAAACAGCUCCUUGGGUUAGAUACUGGGGUAUAAAAGAAAAAGAAACAAUUUGUAUUUUUUUCUAACUAUUCAGGAAAAACACCAAUUUUAUGACUCAUACCCAUGACACAACACUAAGGCAGCAUAUUGGCAGAGGUAGUGACAUAUCUGCAAAGAAUGAGAUCAUAUACAAUUGUAAACAGACUUUAAGACUUCAAAUACAUCAAAGAAUCUCAGAUUCUUUUUAAGAAUAAUGUCCUAUUUGCUUUCUUAAACUAUUGUUGUUAGCUUUAGUUUUUUAAUUUAUUUUGUUAUUAUUAUUAUUCUUAUUUAUCUUAUUUGAGUAUGUUCAUACUUAGUCCCUAUGUUUUUACUUCAUUAAGACUGAAACAUUAUCAAUGGAAUGUACCAAAAUUAGCCUUAACAUUUCUCACUGCAUUAAGUAUUUAUAUUUAAAUUGUUUUAUUUGAAGCUGCGUUCUUAUAGCAGCACAGGUUGCAGCAUGCUUCUGUUGUUAUUUAAUUUGUAAGCACCAUAAUAAUUCUUAGCACCAUUGUUAUUGUUCGAGGGGUGCUAUUUGUUGGUGGUGGUAUCAUGGGAGAAAGGCCACCCUUGUCUCAUAGAGGUUUAUUUUAAAAAUGUUUUUAACUCUGUUGCGAUUUUACUCAACUCUGGGACCAAACCAAAAUAAAUCUUUUUUUUUUUACACAAA